UACGGAAGGCAGCAGUGGGGAAUAUUGCACAAUGGGCGCAAGCCUGAUGCAGCCAUGCCGCGUGUAUGAAGAAGGCCUUCGGGUUGUAAAGUACUUUCAGUCGUGAGGAAGGUGUUAAGGUUAAUAACCUUAGCAAUUGACGUUAGCGACAGAAGAAGCACCGGCUAACUCCGUGCCAGCAGCCGCGGUAAUACGGAGGGUGCGAGCGUUAAUCGGAAUUACUGGGCGUAAAGGGCACGCAGGCGGUUAAUUAAGUUGGAUGUGAAAUCCCCGGGCUUAACCUGGGAAUGGCAUUCAAGACUGGUUAGCUAGAGUCUUUGUAGAGGGGGUAGAAAUUCCAUGUGUAGCGGUGAAAUGCGUAGAGAUGUGGAGGAAAUACCGGUGGCGAAAGGCGGCCCCUGGACAAAAGGACUGACGCUCAUGUGCGAAAAGCGUGGGGAGCAAAACGAGGGAUUAGAUACC
RNAcentral lists this ribosomal RNA (462 nucleotides) under uncultured bacterium. RNAcentral's name for it is "bacterial SSU rRNA". It matches the Rfam family "Bacterial small subunit ribosomal RNA", at positions 340 to 786 of the family's 1533-position model. The record is from RNAcentral.